Molecule: ribosomal RNA, 374 nt
Filed under: uncultured organism
Description: bacterial SSU rRNA
Rfam family: Bacterial small subunit ribosomal RNA
Source: RNAcentral
CGUAGGGAGCAAGCGUUGUUCGGAUUUACUGGGCGUAAAGGGCGCGUAGGCGGCAAUUCAAGUCACUUGUGAAAUCUCCGGGCUUAACUCGGAACGGUCAAGUGAUACUGCUUUGCUAGAGUGCGGAAGGGGCAAUCGGAAUUCUCGGUGUAGCGGUGAAAUGCGUAGAUAUCGAGAGGAACACCUGAGGUGAAGACGGGUUGCUGGGCCGACACUGACGCUGACAGCGCGAAAGCCAGGGGAGCAAACGGGAUUAGAUACCCCGGUAGUCCUGGCCCUAAACGAUGAAUACUUGGUGUCUGGAGUUAAUAGUGCUCCGGGUGCCGUCGCUAACGUUUUUAGUAUUCCGCCUGGGGAGUACGCUCGCAAGAGUG